Long non-coding RNA from Topomyia yanbarensis, 2437 nucleotides. RefSeq lists it as uncharacterized. NCBI's taxonomy places the organism in Eukaryota, Metazoa, Arthropoda, Insecta, Diptera, Culicidae. The record is from RefSeq and is a predicted model, not a curated record. The transcript has 3 exons.
CGGUCGAAGUAUUUACUUGGUUAUCCUACCUCGUAAAACUAUAACUAACUCCUUUGUGUGAAAUUUCCUUCGCAGCAGAUUGACCUUCCAACUGGCCAAUGGAAUACGAAUUGUUAAAUGAAUCACCUAAAUCUUGCUGAAAUAUAGGUACCACGGAAAUUUCUAGCAAGAGAACAAGUUAUAGUCGAAAUAUUCCACAAUAUUUGAACUGGUUAAAAAAAAAUUUACAGUAGUCCACGGCUCACAGAAACGAGGCUUGCUACUCCGCGAAUUGACAGUUGUCGGUGACGUCAGAGAAAUCGUUGAGAUAAACAAAUGGAUUUCUCGAAUGAUGUUAAUUGACAAUAUUUGAGCUCUUACAGUGAAAAAAAUAAUAUGCAACGAUUUAUGACGUAAAUUACGCCAUAAUUACUCUAGACACAGUGGAUAAUCAGUGCAUCUUUGUGAUUAUUAGCGAAAAUCAGGAAUUUGGCUGCAUGCCAUAGUAAACAUAUCUCAUCGUAAUUUCCUGUUACCAGAAAAAGUUUUGGACGUCGGCAUAGCUUCCUUGUGAUCCAUCAGGUGCCGAUGAUUCGUUAGCAGCAAACAAUAAAUGAUUCAUCUAAUUGUUUUCACCGACGAUUUCUAUGACGCGCACUCGUCAAAUGUUUACACUCUAACGAGCUAGCCUAGUAUAUGUAAGCCGUGCAGUAGUCCAGAGCUAAACGUAAACAUUCCACUUUGACAGCUUUCAACACGUAAGCGUGUUGAAGUGUGAGUUCUUCUCCUCUUCACUGGGUGAAGAAGGAAAAUAGAACAACUUAUGAAAAGGGCAUAGAUAACGAAGUGCUGAAACUUAUUUGAUAAUGUUUCAAAUUAGUUAUCAGCCAAACGGUUAUCAAACUUUCAAAUAAAAUUCCAUCUUUCGUUUCAAAGUUACAUCUUUCGUUUCAAAAUGAAUUUUGUCAUUUUGAAGAGUAACGAGGGGGUAUUGUAACCGCUGGUUACAAUAUUGAUUGUUGGCUUUGCCAAAAUGAAAAAAAAUACUCUAGGGUUGCUCAAUUAGUUCCACCAAUCCAUCUUAAGUCCUACCCUAGCUAUGCAGUACUGUCAACUGUGUGAGUGGUAGUCCUCCAAGUCUGACGUUUACGUCUGGGACGGAGGAGUCACUCCUGCAGGAACACUCUCAGUAGGGUACUCAAUCACAACGGUGUGAUCAAGUAAUGUCGCGCAACAUGUCAUUCAUCGCUGUUGCAGUCAUGGGAAGGGCUGCCAAAAGUGGACAAGGUAAAUGUCAGAUCGGAUGACAUCGCGAAAAUUUAAGUUUACUCGGUAUCAUCCGGCCUUAGCCACACUCAGCUACCGCCAAGAACAUUCUUUCUGCUCCCAACGCCCGAAGAAAUCAGAAGUGCGCGCGGUUUUACUGAAAUUAAUAUCAGAUUAGCAGAUUAAAAAUGAGGCGAAUAUACAUAGUGAUAAUUAAAUCGGGUCAAGUGAAUUAAAAGGUGUUAGUACGUGUUCCCAAUACGAAAAGCAUGACAUGGAAAGCACGGAACAUACAAUUUAAAAAAGAGUCAAAAAGGUAAAAUUCUAAAAUGAAACGGGUAAAACGUUGGUGUAGGUUCAGUUGUAAAAACACGUGACACAUACGCUAAUUUCUACUGGGCAGGUCCCCAGUGGACCUUUUUGUUUCCAGCUUCGGACUUCGUCCGAAGAAUAUUUUCACAGGAGAGAUUCCUCGACCGCCUACUACGCAGCGGACAGAUCACGAUCGGGAGUGCCGUGAGUCCCUGCAACCAGAACCGAAGGUUGGACGUGCUAGACAAUCCGUCACCAUAUUGUCGUCAGCAUCUUCAACAAAGAUCGGUAAGCAGUUCGUUUCCGGUCAAUACCACAACCACGAUAAUCGACACCCCGGAAGGAUCGAAGCGUCCACUAUAAGCGGUCACAGAUCCGCCAUUGCUGUUCUCGUCGGCUAUACGCUAUGCCGCCAUCGCACACCCUACACCAACAAAUAAAAUCCGCAAGUAGAAAUAGGAUAAUGUGACGUCACUUAGAUUUAAGGACAUGUGUUAGGGUAAAAUAAAUUGUACAUGUAAUUAAGAAUUGAGCUUCGUUCAAGAUUAACAUUGUCCGUAUAUUUACACCACAAUUUGAUUCGAGCUCCGGACUCGAAAGGAGUCGUCAGCCCUCGUCUUCAGGUGUUCUAUUUGAAAGAAGGUUCAAGGUUUCGCUGGUGUGAUCUGUUAUGUAUAGCGCGUACCCUUUGGGUCUUCACCUUGGUUGCCUGCAGCAAUGAAUGGUCCGUUUUCCCGUAGUUCCCAACGUGAAUGAGUCCCGUGGUGAGUAUGUGUACGCACAAAACGAGUACCAGCAGAAUUCCCCUCCAACCACCCACUGAACUAGUCUAGAGGUUACAGUGUCUUCUUCUGAAAACGAUCGCUGCUUUUUCGGUUUC